This 76-nucleotide transfer RNA is filed under the name Culex quinquefasciatus (southern house mosquito). RNAcentral describes it as "tRNA-Thr". The record is from RNAcentral. Lineage: Eukaryota; Metazoa; Arthropoda; Insecta; Diptera; Culicidae.
GAAGCAGGCUUGGUCGUAUGGUUACGCUAACUGCUUUGUAAGUUGAUGAUCAUGGGUUCGAUUCCCAUCUGCUCCA